GGUGGUUCUCUGGUGAUGUACUCCGGAAUCGGGCUCCCCCCUCUCUGGUUCUGGGUGCGUCACCCAAGAACUGCA
This is a non-coding RNA of Myotis brandtii (Brandt's bat), 75 nucleotides long. The record is from Rfam. Lineage: Eukaryota; Metazoa; Chordata; Mammalia; Chiroptera; Vespertilionidae.